AGUGAACGCUGGCGGUAGGCCUAACACAUGCAAGUCGAACGGCAGCACAGUAAGAGCUUGCUCUUACGGGUGGCGAGUGGCGGACGGGUGAGGAAUACAGCGGAAUCUACUUUUUCGUGGGGGAUAACGUAGGGAAACUUACGCUAAUACCGCAUACGACCUACGGGUGAAAGCAGGGGAUCUUCGGACCUUGCGCGAUUGAAUGAGCCGAUGUCGGAUUAGCUAGUUGGCGGGGUAAAGGCCCACCAAGGCGACGAUCCGUAGCUGGUCUGAGAGGAGGAUCAGCACAAUUGGAACGGAGACACGGUCCAGACUCCUCCGGGAGGCAGCAGUGGGGAAUAUUGGACAAUGGGCGCAAGCCUGAUCCAGCCAUACCGCGUGGGUGAAGAAGGCCUUCGGGUUGUAAAGCCCUUUUGUUGGGAAAGAAAAGCAGCAGGUUAAUACCCCGCUGUUCUGACGGUACCCAAAGAAUAAGCACCGGCUAACUUCGUG
RNAcentral lists this ribosomal RNA (492 nucleotides) under uncultured bacterium. RNAcentral's name for it is "partial 16S ribosomal RNA". It matches the Rfam family "Bacterial small subunit ribosomal RNA", at positions 29 to 507 of the family's 1533-position model. The record is from RNAcentral.